UGGGGAAUCUUAGACAAUGGGGGAAACCCUGAUCUAGCCAUGCCGCGUGAGUGAUGAAGGCCCUAGGGUCGUAAAGCUCUUUCGCCAGGGAAGAUAAUGACGGUACCUGGUAAAGAAGUCCCGGCUAACUCCGUGCCAGCAGCCGCGGUAAUACGGAGGGGACUAGCGUUGUUCGGAAUUACUGGGCGUAAAGCGCGCGUAGGCGGACUAUUAAGUCAGGGGUGAAAUCCCGGGGCUCAACCCCGGAACUGCCUUUGAUACUGGUAGUCUUGAGUUCGAGAGAGGUGAGUGGAACUCCGAGUGUAGAGGUGAAAUUCGUAGAUAUUCGGAAGAACACCAGUGGCGAAGGCGGCCAUCUGGACCGGCACUGACGCUGAGGCGCGAAAGCGUGGGGAGCAAACAGGAUUAGAUACCCCCGUAGUCC
Molecule: ribosomal RNA, 424 nt
Filed under: uncultured prokaryote
Description: bacterial SSU rRNA
Rfam family: Bacterial small subunit ribosomal RNA
Source: RNAcentral